UGGGGAAUAUUGGACAAUGGGCGCAAGCCUGAUCCAGCCAUGCCGCGUGAGUGAUGAAGGCCCUAGGGUUGUAAAGCUCUUUCAGUGGGGACGAUAAUGACGGUACCCACAGAAGAAGCCCCGGCUAACUUCGUGCCAGCAGCCGCGGUAAUACGAAGGGGGCUAGCGUUGUUCGGAAUUACUGGGCGUAAAGCGCACGUAGGCGGACAUUUAAGUCAGGGGUGAAAAUCCCGGGGCUCAACCCCGGAACGGCCUUUGAUACUGGGUGUCUUGAGUUCGGAAGAGGUGAGUGGAAUUGCGAGUGUAGAGGUGAAAUUCGUAGAUAUUCGCAGGAACACCAGUGGCGAAGGCGGCUCACUGGUCCGAAACUGACGCUGAGUGCGAAAGCGUGGGGAGCAAACAGGAUUAGAUACCCUGGUAGUCCACGCCGUAAACGGUGGAAGCUAGCCGUCGGGGGGUUUUACCUUUCGGUGGCGCAGUCAACGCAUUAAGCUUCCCCGCCUGGGGGAGUACGGUCGCAAGAUUAAAAACUUAAAGGAAUUGACGGGGUCAUAGCUGUUU
Molecule: ribosomal RNA, 561 nt
Filed under: uncultured bacterium
Lineage: Bacteria
Description: partial 16S ribosomal RNA
Rfam family: Bacterial small subunit ribosomal RNA
Source: RNAcentral